Molecule: ribosomal RNA, 478 nt
Filed under: uncultured bacterium
Lineage: Bacteria
Description: partial 16S ribosomal RNA
Rfam family: Bacterial small subunit ribosomal RNA
Source: RNAcentral
GAUGAACGCUGGCGGCGUGCUUAACACAUGCAAGUCGAACGGGAAAUGUUUCAUUGAGCCUUCGGUGGGUUUGAUUUAUUUCUAGUGGCGGACGGGUGAGUAACGCGUGGGUAACCUGCCUUAUACAGGGGGAUAACAGUCAGAAAUGGCUGCUAAUACCGCAUAAGCGCACUGAGCUGCAUGGCUCAGUGUGAAAAACUCCGGUGGUAUAAGAUGGACCCGCGUUGGAUUAGCUAGUUGGUGCGGUAACGGCCUACCAAGGCGACGACACAUAGCCGGGAUGAGAGAGUGAGCGGCCACACUUGCGCUGAGAAGCAGCCGAGAAUACUAGGGGAUGCAGGAGUGGGUAAUAUUGCACAAUGGCGGAUAUCCAGAUGCAGCGACGCCGGGUGAAGGAAGAAGUAUGUCGGUAUGUAAACUUCUAUCAGCAGGGGAGAUAUUGACGUUACCUGCAUAAGAAGCCCCGGCUAACUACGUG